Molecule: unclassified non-coding RNA, 329 nt
Filed under: soil metagenome
Description: partial contains 5.8S ribosomal RNA, internal transcribed spacer 2, and large subunit ribosomal RNA
Rfam family: 5.8S ribosomal RNA (bases 1-120)
Source: RNAcentral
GAUGAAGAACGUAGCGAAAUGCGAUAAGUAAUGUGAAUUGCAGAAUUCAGUGAAUCAUCGGAUCUUUGAACGCACAUUGCGCCCCUUGGUAUUCCGAGGGGCAUGCCUGUUCGAGCGUCAUUAUAACCCCUCAAGCUCAGCUUGGUGUUGGGGCCUGCUGCACUGGCAGCCCUUAAAAUCAGUGGCGGCGCCAUCUGGCUCUAAGCGUAGUAAUUCUUCUCGCUAUGGAGUCCUGGUGGAUGCUUGCCAUCAACCCCCAAUUUUUCUAUGGUUGACCUCGGAUCAGGUAGGGAUACCCGCUGAACUUAAGCAUAUCAAUAAGCAGAGGA